AACGAACGCUGGCGGCAGGCUUAACACAUGCAAGUCGAACGGUUGUAGCAAUACAGCAGUGGCGCACGGGUGAGUAACGCGUGGGAACAUACCUUAGAGUCGGGAAUAACAGCGGGAAACUGCUGCUAAUACUCGAUAUUCUCUCCGGAGGAAAGAUUUAUCGCUCUAAGAUUGGCCCGCGUCAGAUUAGCUAGUUGGUGAGGUAAUGGCUCACCAAGGCUCCGAUCUGUAGCUGGUCUGAGAGGACGACCAGCCACACUGGAACUGAGA
RNAcentral lists this ribosomal RNA (270 nucleotides) under uncultured bacterium. RNAcentral's name for it is "partial 16S ribosomal RNA". It matches the Rfam family "Bacterial small subunit ribosomal RNA", at positions 29 to 324 of the family's 1533-position model. The record is from RNAcentral.